RNAcentral lists this ribosomal RNA (474 nucleotides) under uncultured bacterium. RNAcentral's name for it is "bacterial SSU rRNA". It matches the Rfam family "Bacterial small subunit ribosomal RNA", at positions 34 to 507 of the family's 1533-position model. The record is from RNAcentral.
CGCUGGCGGCGUGCCUAACACAUGCAAGUCAACUUGACUGAAGGAGCAAUCUGACAGUAGAGUGGCGCAAGGGUGCGUAACGCGUAAGUAACUUGCCCCAAGGUAAGGAAUAACGUCGAGAAAUCGGCGCUAAUACCUCAUAAUGCAGCGGAUCCGCAUGGAUAUGUUGUUAAAGGUUUACCGCCCUGGGAUAGGCUUGCGUCUGAUUAGCUAGUUGGUGUGGUAACGGCACACCAAGGCUACGAUCAGUAACUGGUCUGAGAGGAUGAUCAGUCACACUGGAACUGAGACACGGUCCAGACUCCUACGGGAGGCAGCAGUGAGGAAUAUUGGGCAAUGCUCGAAAGAGUGACCCAGCAACGCCGCGUGGAGGAUGAAGGUAUUCUAUAUCGUAAACUCCUGUGAGAGCAGACGAAAGACAGAUUAUUAAUCUGGAUGACUGUAUGCUCAGAGGAAGCCCCGGCUAACUACGUG